Macaca mulatta (Rhesus monkey) is the source of this 1710-nucleotide long non-coding RNA. RefSeq lists it as uncharacterized. NCBI's taxonomy places the organism in Eukaryota, Metazoa, Chordata, Mammalia, Primates, Cercopithecidae. The record is from RefSeq and is a predicted model, not a curated record.
AAAGCGAGGAAGAACCAGAGGUAAAGAAAAAAUAGACACAGAGAUAGAGACAGCAAGAGAAAGAAGACAGAGAGAGAUGAUCGGAGGAAGAGACAGAGAAGCCAGAGACAGAACAGAUAAAGGAGGCUAAUCAGAGACCCGAAGACAGAGGGGUGGACAGGCAGCCUCCAAGCCCCUCCGCCCUGCAGCUAGCUGGCGCCCCCGACAGCCCUUCUAGCCAGGUCCCCCUCGGCCAGCAGCCCAGACCUGGAACUCCAGAGGGAGCUUGUAAGAGGGUCCCCACAGGUUUCCCUGCUCUGGGGUAUUCCUGGCCAGGGUCCUGAGACAGGUAACAAUGUUGAUGCUGCUGCUGAUGAUGCUGCUGCUGCUGCUGCUGAUGAUGAUGAUGAUAGCCACCAGAUAGGAAAUGCUAACUAUAGCCCAGGACCCAGGUACGUGCGUCAUAUUCAUGAUCUCAUUCACCCUCUUCAAAACAACCAAUAAGUAGGUGGAAUUAUGGACAUUGGGAAAACUUAGAUCCAAAUGGGGGAGUGACUUGCCCAAGGUCAAAGAGGUGGCAGAACCUGGAAUGAAACAAAAGUGUCUGAGCUGGGGUUCACACUUUUAAAAAUUAUGGGAUUUUAUGGGAAUAUCUACUCCUAUGCCAGAAGGGACACUGAAGCCAUUGGAAAGGAGUGUGGCCAGCUUGAAUCACACAGGAAAUGUAAGGACUAUUUGAUACAUGAAUGAAUGGGUGAAUGAAUGAAUGAAUGAAUGAAUGAAUGAAACCCAAACCUUGUGACUUGUGACUCAAGGUCCAAUAACUUGGCUGAUCCUCUGUUGAUGCUGACUUGGUGUAAUGAAGAAAGCACAUGAACAUGCCCGAGUGGGAACUAGUGACUUUUACCUGCCCAAUAUCCCUUCUCCUUUGUGGUGCCUGGUCCUCACCUGGUCUCAGUCCUUAUGUUUUCAGUGAGGCUGACCCUACCCUGAAGCUCCAAGGGAGAGACAUUGCCCAACCGUGGCCAAUCAGAGUAUAUUUUCUACCACAAGCUCUGUCCCCAGGCAUAAUGGAUUAUCCAGGGAUGGACAUGUGAUCCAAGCCAGGACAAUGAGACAAGUCUAGACUUUUUGCUGGAACUAUCAGAGAGAGAGAGAGAGAAAAAAAAAGAGUGUUCUCAAUUCCUGGGAUUGCUAAACUAAUGUAAUGUCAGUUUGCAGCUUCUGGUAGCCAUUUUUGUUGUUAUUGUUUGUUGUUGUUGUUCUAUUUUAUUUUAAAACAAAGAUGGGGUCUCCCUAUGUUACCCAGGCUGGUCUUGAACUUCUAGGCUCAAGUGAUCCUCCAGCCUUGGCCUCCCGAAGUGCUGGGAUUAUAGUACUGGGUUCAUACCCAGCCUGUGAGCCAUUUUGCCACCAAGAAUGGAGCCACAAAGAGUAACCACUAUAUCUAGCAACAUUGAACCCCUGGAUCCAGCUAUGCCUGAAGCCUGCAUAUACCCAGAGUUGUUUUCCAGUUACAUAAGUUUUAAUUGGUGUGGCAGAUGCUGCUGGUCACCUAUCAGAAUUCAUUUUCCCUUUCCAAUGCUAUUGGCAUUUCGUAUAGCAAUGCAGCUGUCUGAAACACUUGUUUGUACUUUUUGUACCUCUAAGGGGCCAUGUGACCCAGUUCUGGUUAAUGACUCCUUGGGAGAAAUGUCAUUCUCAAAUAAAAAGACAAGACCCUAAAAGAAA